GAAUAUUGAAAGGAUCAUAGCCUCUUUUAUUAAUGAAAUCUGGUACAUUUACAAAAUUCGAAAAUACAAUUCUGGAAUUACAAUACCAUUUAUGAAAUUUGAGUCAAAAGCACUUCUUACAUGACCAAUGUACUUGCACAAAUCAAAUUGGGAAACCGAACUAUAAAGAUAAUAUUUAUUAAUCUUCCAUUGAGGGGCACCAUCAUUCUUUUCUUGUUCAUCAAUUACGAUACCUUUUCAUCCUUCGAUAUAUUAAGGUGGACCAUCAUUCCUACAAAACGUUAAAUAAUUUAUGAAUCUCUGUCCACGUAUACAAAUUGGCAAAAGGUAUAAAGGCAGAUAAAAUAGGUAUAUGAGAACAACUUAUUCUACAUGGUCACGCCGAUUCGAUGAGUCACUUUUCUACAUGGCUUCAUCAUUAAAAAAUAAUACUUGCCAAGCACCAGCUUCAUGUUUACCUAAGUACCUGCAAAGUGAGGAUGAACGAAGUCAUAUUUGACCACUUCAUUCAAAAUAGACAUUGUUGCAAAGUAAAUACUAAAAGGAACUGCUUGCAUAUAUCCUGAGCGACAAAAGAGAACAUAAUUAGAAGGCCUUAAUGAGUAUAGACAGAGAGAGAAUCCAUAUAUACUAAUAUGAAUGAUCAUAACUAAAUUUAAAUGCAAACAUCCAUGACUCUUAUUAAAAUCAGACAAGAGAACCUACCGCCGGGAGCAACUGACAGAUACAAUUAAAAAAGAAACCACAGUUGUGCCAAUUUUUUCUUCUUUAAUUACAGCUAUAAAGUGCAGAUAUAAUAUGUUGGAAAUGACAAUGUCAUGCGUGGUGCUGUAUUCCAAUUCUACACACAACAAUAACCUAGUAUAAUAGGAUUAGAACUUGUAACCGAGUAGGUUAGCUUCUGUUAGUCGUAACCAUAAUAUAUACGCAUGCCCAACAUUUGUAAACAUUAAAUAAUGAGUAGAAAUAAAGAAAAGAACCAGGCUUGAUACAAGCUAGUUGCAAACUUGCAAAACACCCAGUUUUUUCUUGUGUACGUGUGUACUAGUACGAGUACGUUACCAGCCGUGAGGAUCGAUCAAGCAAAGAUUGAUCCGGAGCUAUGUACAUGCAUGUUGCUUCAGGCUAGAAUCAAUUAUCUUGAUGCUAGCUUUUGUACAGUGAGCUGCUUCGGCCAGUUUGGGGCAAGAAUCAAACUGGUUGUUUUCUUUUACCAAUUCAUCUGCAUAUCCACAAUAAAUUUCCAUGACAAAAUAAAUAAAAUCUAUUGACUAUUAUACAGCUAGCCUACACCCUAGAAAAUGUGAAGUUAACCUUUCAUGAGUAUCUUAUAGACUAAUUUGGUCAUAAAUGAUACCUCACGCAUUGGCAUCACUGUCUGCAGGAAACAAAUACCUUCUUCUCUGAAAUUAAAGUUCAGAAUGAACUUAAUACAUUUUUCCAGACCAGCGAAAAUUGUGACUCUCAAAAGGAUUUUGCUGACCGUAGUAUUCAGACCUAUUUUGAAAUAAAAGGAACAAAUCAGCACCAGUUGAUUCAAGAACAACCAGACCUACGCAUAAUCAUCUUUUCUAUACAAAACAACUUAAACGAUUGGGAUAUUCCUAAAAUACCUUAAUUGGAGAAAGAUCAUAAAAUAGAAACAUGUCAGGAAGAGCUUGUACUCCAAUUCUGUUCUUCCACACAAAUCUGUAGCAAGGAAUAUAACAUCAUCUUCAGGGUCGGGCCUUCCUUGUUGAUGCAUCUCUAUCUUGUCGCGCAGAUCCUACUCCCACGCGAAGAAUACUCGGCCCCUGCACCCGCCGCUUAUCCAUCUUCCUCACCCGUAUCCCUUACACCACCUGGAAUUUCGAUUAAGGGUUAGCCAGUACCUCUCCUUCUUGGCUUGUUCCUCCCGAUGGACAUGGAUAAGAAUGAUAUGGAUGUGCUGAUGUGUUGUAUCUCAGAAGCAGGGUGGACGAGGCGCAUAACCGAAGGUUCAGGUGAUGCUCGUGGCGGCGAAUCGCUUGGAAGGGGAGAGGUGAGAGAGAGAUGGCAGGCCAUGUGGAAGAUGAAACGAGAGAGGGUCAGAUUAUGAAGGUGAGGACAUUAAAGGAGAGGUGAUUGGGUCAAUAACGACCAGACCCACG
Molecule: long non-coding RNA, 2129 nt
Filed under: Hordeum vulgare
Lineage: Eukaryota; Viridiplantae; Streptophyta; Magnoliopsida; Poales; Poaceae
Description: long non-coding RNA (HVUL_LNC004217)
Source: RNAcentral